RNAcentral lists this ribosomal RNA (1235 nucleotides) under metagenome. RNAcentral describes it as "bacterial LSU rRNA". It matches the Rfam family "Bacterial large subunit ribosomal RNA", at positions 1564 to 2808 of the family's 2925-position model. The record is from RNAcentral.
UGAGUACAAGAUGCUACGGCAUUGAAGCAGUCUAUGUCAUACUUCCAAGAAAAGCUUGCAAUGUCAUAAACAAAUAAUGCCUGUACCAUAACCGACACAGGUGGGUAGGUAGAGUAUACUAAGGGGCGCGAGAUAACUCUCUCUAAGGAACUCGGCAAAAUGACUCCGUAACUUCGGGAGAAGGAGUACCUUAUUUUAUAAGGUUGCAAUAACAAGGUCCAAGCAACUGUUUACCAAAAACACAGGUCUCCGCUAAGUCGUAAGACGAUGUAUGGGGGCUGACGCCUGCCCAGUGCCAGAAGGUUAAAGAAGUUGGUUAGCAUUAGCGAAGCUGAUAACUGAAGCCCUGGUGAACGGCGGCCGUAACGAUAACGGUCCUAAGGUAGCGAAAUUCCUUGUCGGGUAAGUUCCGACCCGCACGAAAGGCGUAAUGAUUUGGAUACUGUCUCGGAGAGGGGCUCGGUGAAAUAGACUUGUCUGUGAAGAUGCGGACUACCUGCACCUGGACAGAAAGACCCUAUGAAGCUUUACUGUAACUUGAGAUUGAAAUUGGACUUUAUUUGCGCAGUGUAGGUGGGAGACCUCGAAAGUAUUCUUGCGGGAAUAUUGGAGUCAUCAGUGAGAUACCACUCUUAUAAUGUUAGAUUUCUAACUUUGUAUCAUUAUCUGGUCAAAGAACAGUUUCAGGCGGGCAGUUUGACUGGGGCGGUCGCCUCCCAAAUGGUAACGGAGGCGCACAAAGGUUUCCUCUGAACGUGUAGAAAUCGUAUCUAGAGUGUAAAGGCAUAAGGAAGCUUGACUGUGAGACCUACAAGUCGAGCAGGGACGAAAGUCGGCCUUAGUGAUCUGACGGUGCUGAGUGGAAAGGCCGUCACUCAACGGAUAAAAGUUACUCUAGGAUAACAGGCUGAUCUCCCCCAAGAGUUCACAUCGACGGGGAGGUUUGGCACCUCGAUGUCGGCUCAUCGCAUCCUGGGGCGGUAGUACGUCCCAAGGGUUGGGCUGUUCGCCCAUGAAAGCGGUACGCGAGCUGGGUUCAGAACGUCGUGAGACAGUACGGUCCAUAUCCGGUGUAGGCGUUAGAAUAUUGAGAGGAGCCUUCUUUAGUACGAGAGGACCGAGAAGGACAUACCUCUGGUGUACCAGUUAUCGUGCCAACGGUAAACGCUGGGUAGCUAUGUAUGGAGAGGAUAACCGCUGAAAGCAUCUAAGUGGGAAGCCCACCUCAAGAUAAG